Molecule: ribosomal RNA, 696 nt
Filed under: Coolia malayensis
Lineage: Eukaryota; Dinophyceae; Peridiniales; Ostreopsidaceae
Description: LSU rRNA
Rfam family: Eukaryotic large subunit ribosomal RNA
Source: RNAcentral
AUUUUGAAAUGUAUUGCCAAUGGAGGCGCAGGUGCAAGCCUAUUGAAAGAAAGCGUCAACGAGGGUGAAAUUCCUUUUUGUCAUUUGCAGUCCUCCGUGCACGGUAUAUAUUUGACGAGUCACACUCCUCGGCAUUGGAAUGCAAAGUGGGUGGUAAAUUCCAUGUAAAGGUAAAUAUAUUAUUGAGACUGAUAGCAAACAAGUACCAUGAGGGAAAUAUGAAAAGGACUUUGAAAAGGGAAUUAAAAGAGUCUGCAUUUGCUGAACAGAAAGCAAACAGAAUUGAUGUGCUUGGUUGGAUUGUUGUGCCCACUCUGUCAUUUAUGUCGGAUGUGGGUGCGAUGGUUCUUACCUUGAAUGUCAGCUUCUAUUUCUGCAAAUCAUUACCCUUGCACAUGAAUGGUAAUUUGCCUGCGGGUAUUGGAAUGUAUGUGUUUGCAAUGAUUUGUGAUUUGAUGCAUGUGGUUGGUGGACUUUGUAUGUGCUGUUUUGCCAACGGGGAAGGGACUCUUCCUUGAGCACUGCAAGCCCUUGCACAUUGAUGCUGGCAAAAUGUUUCUGCUUGACCCGUCUUGAAACACGGACCAAGGAGUCUAACAGAUGUGCAAGUGCGUGGGUGGCAAACCUACUAACACAAUGAAAGUAUUGGCUGGGAUAUUUGCACCAGCAGCCGACUGAUUAGCAGACAGAGGUUUG